Long non-coding RNA from Etheostoma cragini (Arkansas darter), 158 nucleotides. RefSeq lists it as uncharacterized. The record is from RefSeq and is a predicted model, not a curated record. NCBI's taxonomy places the organism in Eukaryota, Metazoa, Chordata, Actinopteri, Perciformes, Percidae. The transcript is spliced from 3 exons.
GGCAGUGAUGUUGAAUGUAAACAAAAAGCUGCUUGCCGUCGCUUCUCUCUCGUCAUUGUGUUAAACAAGCCAAUAGCGCGCCAGGUGGAUAAGCUAGUUUGGGAUUGGUCCCCGCAGAUUUGUAACGACAGCAAGAUAGAUAUAUAUACAGGUAUCCA